RNAcentral lists this ribosomal RNA (2947 nucleotides) under Salmonella enterica subsp. enterica serovar Enteritidis. RNAcentral describes it as "bacterial LSU rRNA". It matches the Rfam family "Bacterial large subunit ribosomal RNA". Lineage: Bacteria; Pseudomonadati; Pseudomonadota; Gammaproteobacteria; Enterobacterales; Enterobacteriaceae. The record is from RNAcentral.
GGGUUGUGAGGUUAAGCGACUAAGCGUACACGGUGGAUGCCCUGGCAGUCAGAGGCGAUGAAGGGCGUGCUAAUCUGCGAUAAGCGCCGGUAAGGUGAUAUGAACCGUUAUAACCGGCGAUACCCGAAUGGGGAAACCCAGUGUGACUCGUCACACUAUCAUUAACUGAAUCCAUAGGUUAAUGAGGCGAACCGGGGGAACUGAAACAUCUAAGUACCCCGAGGAAAAGAAAUCAACCGAGAUUCCCCCAGUAGCGGCGAGCGAACGGGGAGGAGCCCAGAGCCUGAAUCAGCAUGUGUGUUAGUGGAAGCGUCUGGAAAGGCGCGCGAUACAGGGUGACAGCCCCGUACACAAAAGCGCAUGUGCUGUGAGCUCGAUGAGUAGGGCGGGACACGUGGUAUCCUGUCUGAAUAUGGGGGGACCAUCCUCCAAGGCUAAAUACUCCUGACUGACCGAUAGUGAACCAGUACCGUGAGGGAAAGGCGAAAAGAACCCCGGCGAGGGGAGUGAAAAAGAACCUGAAACCGUGUACGUACAAGCAGUGGGAGCCCCACCACCAAAGCAUUUGCUGUACCGCGUUGACGGAGCGAAGCGACGUCAAACCGAUAAAACAGCAGUGUAAAGUGAGCCGCAGGGCGCUUUGCGCGACAGCGCAAAGGCAGGCGGUUUCGCGUAGCGAAAGCGAAUGCUUUGGGGUGGGGUGACUGCGUACCUUUUGUAUAAUGGGUCAGCGACUUAUAUUCUGUAGCAAGGUUAACCGAAUAGGGGAGCCGGAGGGAAACCGAGUCUUAAUUGGGCGUUAAGUUGCAGGGUAUAGACCCGAAACCCGGUGAUCUAGCCAUGGGCAGGUUGAAGGUUGGGUAACACUAACUGGAGGACCGAACCGACUAAUGUUGAAAAAUUAGCGGAUGACCUGUGGCUGGGGGUGAAAGGCCAAUCAAACCGGGAGAUAGCUGGUUCUCCCCGAAAGCUAUUUAGGUAGCGCCUCGUGAAUUCAUCUCCGGGGGUAGAGCACUGUUUCGGCUAGGGGGCCAUCCCGGCUUACCAACCCGAUGCAAACUGCGAAUACCGGAGAAUGUUAUCACGGGAGACACACGGCGGGUGCUAACGUCCGUCGUGAAGAGGGAAACAACCCAGACCGCCAGCUAAGGUCCCAAAGUCAUGGUUAAGUGGGAAACGAUGUGGGAAGGCCCAGACAGCCAGGAUGUUGGCUUAGAAGCAGCCAUCAUUUAAAGAAAGCGUAAUAGCUCACUGGUCGAGUCGGCCUGCGCGGAAGAUGUAACGGGGCUAAACCAUGCACCGAAGCUGCGGCAGCGACACUGUGUGUUGUUGGGUAGGGGAGCGUUCUGUAAGCCUGUGAAGGUGUGUCGUGAGGCAUGCUGGAGGUAUCAGAAGUGCGAAUGCUGACAUAAGUAACGAUAAAGCGGGUGAAAAGCCCGCUCGCCGGAAGACCAAGGGUUCCUGUCCAACGUUAAUCGGGGCAGGGUGAGUCGACCCCUAAGGCGAGGCCGAAAGGCGUAGUCGAUGGGAAACGGGUUAAUAUUCCCGUACUUGGUGUUACUGCGAAGGGGGGACGGAGAAGGCUAUGUUGGCCGGGCGACGGUUGUCCCGGUUUAAGCGUGUAGGUGUGUGUUCCAGGUAAAUCCGGUUCACUUUAACACUGAGGCGUGACGACGAGGCACUACGGUGCUGAAGCAACAAAUGCCCUGCUUCCAGGAAAAGCCUCUAAGCAUCAGGUAACAUCAAAUCGUACCCCAAACCGACACAGGUGGUCAGGUAGAGAAUACCAAGGCGCUUGAGAGAACUCGGGUGAAGGAACUAGGCAAAAUGGUGCCGUAACUUCGGGAGAAGGCACGCUGACACGUAGGUGAAGUGAUUUACUCAUGGAGCUGAAGUCAGUCGAAGAUACCAGCUGGCUGCAACUGUUUAUUAAAAACACAGCACUGUGCAAACACGAAAGUGGACGUAUACGGUGUGACGCCUGCCCGGUGCCGGAAGGUUAAUUGAUGGGGUCAGCGCAAGCGAAGCUCCUGAUCGAAGCCCCGGUAAACGGCGGCCGUAACUAUAACGGUCCUAAGGUAGCGAAAUUCCUUGUCGGGUAAGUUCCGACCUGCACGAAUGGCGUAAUGAUGGCCAGGCUGUCUCCACCCGAGACUCAGUGAAAUUGAACUCGCUGUGAAGAUGCAGUGUACCCGCGGCAAGACGGAAAGACCCCGUGAACCUUUACUAUAGCUUGACACUGAACAUUGAGCCUUGAUGUGUAGGAUAGGUGGGAGGCUUUGAAGUGUGGACGCCAGUCUGCAUGGAGCCGACCUUGAAAUACCACCCUUUAAUGUUUGAUGUUCUAACGUGGACCCGUUACCCGGGUUGCGGACAGUGUCUGGUGGGUAGUUUGACUGGGGCGGUCUCCUCCUAAAGAGUAACGGAGGAGCACGAAGGUUGGCUAAUCCUGGUCGGACAUCAGGAGGUUAGUGCAAUGGCAUAAGCCAGCUUGACUGCGAGCGUGACGGCGCGAGCAGGUGCGAAAGCAGGUCAUAGUGAUCCGGUGGUUCUGAAUGGAAGGGCCAUCGCUCAACGGAUAAAAGGUACUCCGGGGAUAACAGGCUGAUACCGCCCAAGAGUUCAUAUCGACGGCGGUGUUUGGCACCUCGAUGUCGGCUCAUCACAUCCUGGGGCUGAAGUAGGUCCCAAGGGUAUGGCUGUUCGCCAUUUAAAGUGGUACGCGAGCUGGGUUUAGAACGUCGUGAGACAGUUCGGUCCCUAUCUGCCGUGGGCGCUGGAGAACUGAGGGGGGCUGCUCCUAGUACGAGAGGACCGGAGUGGACGCAUCACUGGUGUUCGGGUUGUCAUGCCAAUGGCACUGCCCGGUAGCUAAAUGCGGAAGAGAUAAGUGCUGAAAGCAUCUAAGCACGAAACUUGCCCCGAGAUGAGUUCUCCCUGAGACUUA